GCACCAGUGGGGAAUAUUGGCAAUGGGCGCAAGCCUGAUCCAGCCAUGCCGCGUGUGUGAAGAAGGCCUUCGGGUUGUAAAGCACUUUCUGGCGGGGAGGAAGGGCGGUAGGUUAAUACCYYGCUGUUUUGACGUUACCCGCAGAAUAAGCACCGGCUAACUUCGUGCCAGCAGCCGCGGUAAUACGGAGGGUGCAAGCGUUAAUCGGAAUUACUGGGCGUAAAGCGUGCNAGGGUGGUUUGUUAAGUCGGAUGUGAAAUCCCCGGGCUCAACCUGGGAACUGCAUCCGAAACUGGCGAGCUAGAGUCUUGUAGAGGGGGGUAGAAUUCCGGGUGUAGCGGUGAAAUGCGUAGAGAUCGGGAGGAACACCGGUGGCGAAGGCGGCCCCCUGGCCAACACUGACNCUCAGGUGCGAAAGCGUCGGAGCAGC
RNAcentral lists this ribosomal RNA (430 nucleotides) under uncultured Gammaproteobacteria bacterium. Its description in RNAcentral is "bacterial SSU rRNA". It matches the Rfam family "Bacterial small subunit ribosomal RNA", at positions 348 to 772 of the family's 1533-position model. The record is from RNAcentral. Lineage: Bacteria; Pseudomonadati; Pseudomonadota; Gammaproteobacteria.